UGUUGCCUACCGAUGAAGGAUGGCUGGAACAGGGUCUCUGGGCAGCGGAAACGUUCAUUUCCGAUGGAAAGAGGUGGUGCUGUCUCAGGACCAGGCCUAGUCCAGAAGGUUUCAGCGGUGCAUACUGAACGAGAUACGGAAGAAGUGGGCAGGGAGAGACCUUUCAGACUUCUGCUCUCUGAAGUUCUAGGCUAUUAAUUAUAUCUGAGGCUCUAGGAACCUUUUAGAGGCAUCUUGGGAUUCUUUGUAGGGAGCAGAGGAGGAAUGCAAUUAUUCAACUUCAUAUUGCAAGUGGAGACUUUAACAUUGGCAGGGUUCAAGUCUCAAGCCUCAAAUUUGGAGCAUAAAAUAAGCCUCAGGCAUGUUCAGAAACCUAAAUGUUUGGACAAUACCAAAUUGCUAAGGGGAGGACAGGUAGCUGGAGCCACCAGCACUGAGGACAUACAAUGUUUCUGGCAAUGCUGACACUUUCCUCUUGUGAAGGGAGGACUGGGUGCACCGGCUUAGAAUCUGAAUACACAUAUGUCACUGUGUUAGCUAUUAAUAAGUAUCACUGUUAAUAGCUAACAAUUAUUGAAUGCUUACUCUAUGUCAAGUAUUCCACAUGCGUUCUUCCAUUUAAUACUGAUAACAAUCAUGUGAUAUAGGGUCUAUUAUUAUCCCCAUUUUACAAAU
Long non-coding RNA from Homo sapiens (human), 675 nucleotides. Ensembl annotates it as ACTA2 antisense RNA 1. Its record names the gene ACTA2-AS1. The record is from Ensembl. Lineage: Eukaryota; Metazoa; Chordata; Mammalia; Primates; Hominidae.